CGGGGUGGAGUAAUGUCUGGGAAACUGCCUGAUGGAGGGGGGUAACUACUGGAAACGGUAGCUAAUACCGCAUAACGUCGCAAGACCAAAGAGGGGGACCUCGGGCCUCUUGCCAUCGGAUGUGCCCAGAUGGGAUUAGCUAGUAGGUGGGGUAACGGCUCACCUAGGCGACGAUCCCUAGCUGGUCUGAGAGGAUGACCAGCCACACUGGAACUGAGACACGGUCCAG
Molecule: ribosomal RNA, 229 nt
Filed under: uncultured bacterium
Lineage: Bacteria
Description: partial 16S ribosomal RNA
Rfam family: Bacterial small subunit ribosomal RNA
Source: RNAcentral